Molecule: ribosomal RNA, 245 nt
Filed under: uncultured bacterium
Lineage: Bacteria
Description: partial small subunit ribosomal RNA
Rfam family: Bacterial small subunit ribosomal RNA
Source: RNAcentral
AGAAUCAACGCUGGCGGCGUGCCUAACACAUGCAAGUCGAACGAGAAAGUGGAGCAAUCCACGAGUAAAGUGGCGCACGGGUGAGUAACACGUGACUAACCUACCCUUGAGUGGGGAAUAACUGAGGGAAACCUUAGCUAAUACCGCAUAAUACCUACGGGUCAAAGCAGCAAUGCGCUUGAAGAGGAGUUCGCGGCAGAUUAGUUAGUUGGCGGGGUAAUGGCCCACCAAGACGAUGAUCUGUA